Oryza glumipatula is the source of this 206-nucleotide non-coding RNA. Lineage: Eukaryota; Viridiplantae; Streptophyta; Magnoliopsida; Poales; Poaceae. The record is from Rfam.
AAUAAGUCCAGUCAUGAGUUUCCGCUCCCAACUUUAAUCGUCCGUCUUAUUUAAAAUUUUUUUAUAAUUAACAUUUUUGUUGUUAUAAAAUGCUAAAACAUAAAUAAUACUUUACUUGUGACUAAUGUUUUUAAUUUUUUUUCAAAAUUUUUUCAAAUAAGACAAAUAGUUAAAGUUGGGCGCGAAAAACCAUCGCUGCACUUAUU